Molecule: ribosomal RNA, 234 nt
Filed under: Triticum aestivum (bread wheat)
Lineage: Eukaryota; Viridiplantae; Streptophyta; Magnoliopsida; Poales; Poaceae
Description: partial small subunit ribosomal RNA
Source: RNAcentral
AUGCUUACCCAAGGUAUCAUUGUGCCCAGAUCUAGCCCCUUUGCUUCACCAGUACUGCUAGUUCAGAAGAAAGAUUUGUCUUGGCGUUUCUGUGUGGACUACCGACAACUCAACGUGGUGACAGUCAAAAACCGCUAUCCUCUGCCCGUCAUCGAUGAGCUCCUGGACAAGGUGGCUAGUUCCACGUUGUUCACUAGUCUGGACCUCCGGGCCGGAUAUCAUCAGAUAGAAUGA